CCCUUAGAUGUUCUGGGCCGCACGCGCGCUACAAUGGCAGACUCAGCGAGUUACCUCUGUCGAAAGGCACAGGGAAUCUUUAUAGUAUCUGCCGUGAUGGGGAUAGACCCUUGUAAUUUUUGGUCUUCAACGAGGAAUUCCUAGUAAACGCAAGUCAUUAACUUGCAUUGAUUACGUCCCUGCCCUUUGUACACACCGCCCGUCGCACCUACCGAUUGAAUGGUCCGGUGAAGUCCUCGGACCCAGUUGAACCUCGAGUUGAACAGGGAAAGUUGACUAAAUCUUACCAUUUAGAGGAAGGUGAAGUCGUAACA
This 314-nucleotide ribosomal RNA is filed under the name uncultured eukaryote. Its description in RNAcentral is "partial 18S ribosomal RNA". It matches the Rfam family "Eukaryotic small subunit ribosomal RNA", at positions 1470 to 1796 of the family's 1831-position model. The record is from RNAcentral.